AGCAUCGCGAGAGUUACCUUAAUUGUGGCGGCGGGAAGGCGGGCCCUGCAGCUGGCUGGGCGGUUAGGAGGGCCCGGGGCCGAGACGAUGGCUGACCACAACCCUGACAGCGACCCCACGCCGCGCACGCUGCUGCGACGCGUGCUGGAUACAGCGGACCCGCGCACCCCGCGGCGACCCCGGAGUGCUCGGGCUGGAGCCCGGAGAGCCCUGCUUGAAAUGGCUUCCUCCAGGAGGUUGAGUGGCCAAACAAGGACGAUAGCCAGAGGGCGUUCCCGUGGAGCCAGGGUAAGUACCCAGCCCACUGACCCCAAAGGGCCCUGGCUGCCUCGGGGAGGGGGGUUGAGGUCUAGCUCUGCUCUGGAGCCCACCUUGAGGAAAUCUCAAGGCAAACGGACAGACUGGUUGCUUGGUGCUUUUGCGGAUAGUCUGUUGGCAGAUCGGCCCAUGUUCAGGCCAGUGGGCACUUGGAGGAACAGACACCUCGGACGCUGCUGAAGAACAUCCUACUAACUGGUAAGUGAGUGCUGGCCUGCCGGUCAGAGUUAGGUACCAGUCCGACACCAGUCUUCUGGUAUCUUUCAUUCAGGGUGGCCUGUUCUGUCAGCCCCACCCUCUCCUUGGUAUUUCUGCAGCCCCGGAAUCUUCCAUCCUGAUGCCCGAGUCGGUAGUGAAGCCAGUGCCAGCACCGGAGGUGGUCCAACCCUCCAGACGAGAGAGCAGUUGUGGCAGCCUGGAGCUGCAACUUCCUGAGCUCGAGCCCCCCACAACCCUGGCUCCAGGUCUGCUGGCCCCUGGCAGGAGGAAACAGAGGCUGAGACUGUCGAUGUUUCAGCAGGGAGUGGACCAGGGGCUGUCUCUCUCCCAAGGUGAGGCCCUGGACACCACUUUUGCUACCCUCUCCCUCCUGUCCUCUGGAGAGGCUGAGGAGUCCUGAGAGAGGGCCCUCACAGGCCUGGAGCACUUACCAUGGUUUUCUUCUUUUACAUUCUCUUGCCGGUUGCUGACAGAGCCUCAAGGGAAUGCUGAUGCCUCUUCCCUCACCAGGUGCUGUUCUGGGUGAUUCCUGUUCUGGGAGUGGGUGGAGGAGAGACUUGGGGAGGGAGGUGCUGCUUGGGAUGGAAUCUGGCCGUACUACUCCCUGCCAGUUUUAGCCUCACAGCAUCUGUUCUAAGAGAUGAGAGCCCCAGGGUGAAUGGAGGGAUCUCUGGGCAAACUGGGUCUCAGGUACCUGACUUUCCUCUGUGCCUCCCCCCUCUCACCAGAUCCCUCAACCUGACCUUUGCCACACCUCUUCAGCCACAGUCAGUGCAGAGGCCUGGCUUGGCCCGCAGACCUCCUGCCCGCCGAGCUGUAGACGUGGGUGCCUUUUUGCGGGAUCUGCGAGAUACUUCCCUGGCUCCUCCAAGUAAGGUUGAGGUUUUCCCCUGCUGGCCUUUGGGGAAAGCUCUCCCCACUAUGACAGAUAGGAGGUGAUGCUGAGUCAGGGUUGCGCCCCUCUCGGUGGGGUCAAGGACAGCAAGCAACUCUGGUCAGUGGGUCUACAAGGAAUUUCUGCUUGCUUUCUACAGGGGGCCCCUUUCCUUCGUCCCUCGGUGUCUCCCAGGGCCCCAUAUCCUUAGACUAUAGGGCUGGAGGUUGGAAAGGGGUGUGGUGUGGUGGCCGAAACUUGUUGAAAGGGGCCAGGUUUCAGGAUCAGCUGGCCAAUUCAAACUGACCUGGGAGCCUGAUUGCAGAAAACAAGUUCACCAGAGUAAGAAGAGGGUUUGGGAAGAAGCUGCAGAACAAGCAGCGAAGAGGUAUUUUAAGUGGGCAGCUGGUGGGCAGGCAGCUGUGGGGGCCUGGGACUGCCGGGCAGAGGAACAGGAAGGUAAGCAAGGAGGGCUGUAGUCGAAAAGGCCUCGCGUGCUAGGUCGUCUUCUUUCUCUGAAGGCCACUCAGGGCGGACCCAUGCGGCCUACUGUCCAGGCCCUGGCAAUGCUGAGUAGCAGCCGGUGGGCCUGGAAUACGCUGAGAGCCAGCUGGCCCCUGAUCUCCAGGUGACAGCCUCAGAACCUGUUACUACUCUGCCCACAGACAUUGUGUUGGAGGACACCCAGCCAUUCUCUCAGCCCACGGUUGGCUCCCCUGAUGUGUAUCACUCCCUGCCCUGCAUGCCUCACACUGGGGCUGAAGACGCUGAGCAGGCUACUGGUCGCAAGACACAGAGCAGUGGGCCUGGGCUGCAGAACAAUAGUGAGUGUGUGGCACCGGUGGCCUGGAGCCAAACUUAGCUUGGGUGAGAGCUGACAAUGGUAGUUUUCCUUCUUCAAGCCCCUCUGUGCUCCUAGAGCACCCUGGCUGUGGCUGCCUCCUUCAUCCAAGAGCAGAGUCCAUGUUGGGCCAGGAGACUUCAGAUCCAUGUCCUGGUGCUGCCUCUGGCUUUGUCUUUCCUCAGUGAGCAGGGCUGGGUCUGCUAGUCCAUCUUUACCCUUCUCUGAGCUAUGCAGCCUUGGCCGGCUGCGUCUCCAGCCUGUAUUCUCUCCCCUUCACUCAGGCCCUGGGAAACCAGCCCAGUUUCUGGCAGGAGUGGCAGAGGAGGUCGAUGCCUUUGCUCUAAGCUUCCUGAGCACCAGCAGUGGUGUCUCUGGAGAAGAUGAAAUAGAGCCCUUACAUGAUGGAGUUGAAGAGGCAGAG
RNAcentral lists this small RNA (2676 nucleotides) under Pongo abelii (Sumatran orangutan). Its description in RNAcentral is "retained intron". The record is from RNAcentral. Lineage: Eukaryota; Metazoa; Chordata; Mammalia; Primates; Hominidae.